RNAcentral lists this ribosomal RNA (1605 nucleotides) under Triticum aestivum (bread wheat). RNAcentral's name for it is "partial small subunit ribosomal RNA". The record is from RNAcentral. Lineage: Eukaryota; Viridiplantae; Streptophyta; Magnoliopsida; Poales; Poaceae.
AUGGCUGGGCAUCAUUAUCACAAUUCCCAGAUGUCAAGAAUGGAUCGUACGAACCAGCCACGUAAUGAACCUCCGCCUUUUGGUCAAAAGUUAUUUAUGCAUCCUAGAGGUGAUGCACCUAAUGGAGCGGGGCCAUCAGGUUAUGGGGUUACAACUGUGAGAUCUAAUGAGCUUCCAUCCUCAAGCUACGCCGGUCAGUCUUAUGGUCAGCAGAUUGGAGCCCCUGGAACCUUGCAUUCUUCCCAUGCUGGUUAUCCUCCUGCUGGAAGCUCUAGUAGCAGCUAUGCACCAUACAAUACUCAACAUGUGCCUUCUUUAAGCUAUCCACGUAGAUCUGAGGAUAGUUUUAUUCCUGGAGUCCAUGUGGAUGACAGAAGGGUUGCACCGAAGCGGAGAAAUCCCAUCACUCAUCCUGUGGAUGGUGUCAGUGCUGGAGCCUAUUAUCCUGGCAGUUCUUCCAAUAAUCAGUUCUCUGGUUACAUGCCCCUGAAUCCUGUUCCUACUCGUGAAACCUGCCCUCCACAAAUAAGUUCAAACAUGGGUUCCGGCCACUGGAACGAUCAUCAGUUUGUUAAUCAUGAAGGAUCUCAGAGGAAUGUGAGGGGACGCCAUGAUCAUAGUUCUAUCCAUUCGGAAUAUAAUUCAUCUACAGCUUGCCCAUCAAACAGUCUUCAUGUGCCACCAUACCAUCCAAAUGCAAAUGCUCCUUUUGGAAGUGCACCAGUACAGCGGGAAAGAGCUCCUUUAUCUCUACCUCCCAGAAUUGUUCCCCCAGGGACAGAUGGAAGCACUGGCAUAGCAUUCAGAGAGAGGCCAUUCUAUCCUGCUCCACAGAGCACCAACAUAAGUGCUCCUGUGCCAACACUUCCUGGUUCUUCUGACGGUGCACCAUUUGCACGCAUUGGAUACACUCCUAGACCAGUUCAUCAUAACGCUGGCCACAAUUAUCCACCGCCAGCUUUUACAACUUCUUCCAACUCUGGAGCAGUUCGGUGUGAGCCUGCUAACCCUCACUAUCAACCUGCCAUGCCCAGCUAUCCUCCUGCUACUGCUGCAGCAUCAAGUGUCCAGCCAUUACAUGCUGAAGCAUCUUUUAGACAGCCAAGGCACGUCUCUGUAGGGCAUGGUGGUAGUGCAAGGAGUAGAAGGAUGAGGGAUUCCUAUCAUUGUUUUCAUCCUUUGAUGAUUGAGGAGAAUAACCUAGGAAGAUCGGCUGCUGAGCGUUCUAUGAUGCUGGACCAGUUGGUCAUCCACGAAUCUAGAGAAGCAUUAGAUCCUCACUGGGACAUGAGACUGGACAUUGAUGACAUGAGCUAUGAGGAGCUCCUGGCGUUGGAAGAACGAAUUGGCAAUGUAAACACUGGCCUGGCUGACGAAAAAAUCUCAGGCUGCGUGAUGGAGCUAGCCUGUCGUAGUUCUGCCCGUACACAGAAUGAUCAAGACAAGGAAAGAUGCAUAAUUUGCCUGGAGGAAUACAAGCACAAGGACUCACUUGGGAAACUGAAAUGUGGGCAUGACUUCCACGCGGGCUGCAUCAAGAAGUGGCUGGAGGUGAAGAACGCCUGCCCGGUUUGUAAAGCCGAUGCCGCAAAUGAAGCCACCUGA